CUACGGGGUGCUGCAGUGGGGAAUAUUGGACAAUGGGCGCAAGCCUGAUCCAGCAAUGCCGCGUGUGUGAAGAAGGCCUGCGGGUUGUAAAGCACUUUAAGCAGGAAAGAAGGGGCUAAGGUUAAUACCCUUAGUCAUUGACGUUACCUGCAGAAUAAGCACCGGCUAACUCCGUGCUGGCAGCCGCGGUAAUACGGAGGGUGCGAGCGUUAAUCGGAAUUACUGGGCGUAAAGCGCGCGUAGGCGGUUCGUUAAGUCAGCUGUGAAAGCCCUGGGCUUAACCUGGGAACGGCAGUGGAUACUGGUGGGCUAGAGUGUGGUAGAGGGUAGUGGAAUUUCCGGUGUAGCAGUGAAAUGCGUAGAGAUCGGAAGGAACACCAGUGGCGAAGGCGGCUAUCUGGACCAACACUGACGCUGAGGUGCGAAAGCGUGGGGAGCAAACAGGAUUAGAUACCCGGGUAGUC
RNAcentral lists this ribosomal RNA (464 nucleotides) under uncultured bacterium. RNAcentral's name for it is "partial 16S ribosomal RNA". It matches the Rfam family "Bacterial small subunit ribosomal RNA", at positions 339 to 795 of the family's 1533-position model. The record is from RNAcentral.